UUAAAGUUAAGUUAGUUUAAGCUAUAAAACAUCAAUCUGUGGAUUUGAAAAUGAAAUUUGUUUCACUUAACCA
This 73-nucleotide transfer RNA is filed under the name Antarctoneptunea benthicola. RNAcentral describes it as "tRNA-His". It matches the Rfam family "tRNA". From Rfam's summary of the family: Transfer RNA (tRNA) molecules are approximately 80 nucleotides in length. Their secondary structure includes four short double-helical elements and three loops (D, anti-codon, and T loops). Further hydrogen bonds mediate the characteristic L-shaped molecular structure. tRNAs have two regions of fundamental functional importance: the anti-codon, which is responsible for specific mRNA codon recognition, and the 3' end, to which the tRNAs corresponding amino acid is attached (by aminoacyl-tRNA synthetases). tRNAs cope with the degeneracy of the genetic code in two manners: having more than one tRNA (with a specific anti-codon) for a particular amino acid; and 'wobble' base-pairing, i.e. permitting non-standard base-pairing at the 3rd anti-codon position. The record is from RNAcentral. Lineage: Eukaryota; Metazoa; Mollusca; Gastropoda; Neogastropoda; Buccinidae.